This 357-nucleotide long non-coding RNA is filed under the name Musa acuminata (dwarf banana). RNAcentral's name for it is "long non-coding RNA (MACU_LNC001200)". The record is from RNAcentral. Lineage: Eukaryota; Viridiplantae; Streptophyta; Magnoliopsida; Zingiberales; Musaceae.
GCCUCCGCCGGCAUCGGCCGGGAGAUAUGCCUCGACCUCGCCGCCGCCGGGUGCAAGAUCGUUGCCGCCGCGCGGAGGGUCGAUCGCCUCAAAUCCCUCUGCGACGAGAUCAACGGCUCCUCCAACACUGUCCAAGCCGUCGCCGUGGAGCUCGACGUCAGCCGCAAGAGCCCCGCGAUCGAGGCCGCCGUGCACGACGCGUGGAACGCCUUCGGCCGCAUCGACGCGUUGGUGAACAACGCCGGAGUUAGAGGUAAUUUUAGCCAUAACGAUUUCUGAUCGUUACACUGUCGUGCUCGAGAAAGCAUCUCCUGCAUCCCACAGCGUUCUACUGAUGUCCGCUGCGUGUGAGCUCAG